This 1895-nucleotide long non-coding RNA is filed under the name Equus caballus (horse). RNAcentral describes it as "lncRNA (ENSECAG00000047793.1)". The record is from RNAcentral. Lineage: Eukaryota; Metazoa; Chordata; Mammalia; Perissodactyla; Equidae.
CAAUGAAUCAUUUGAAGCCAAAGUACAGCCAGCCCCACCCCCCUCCCCCAGCAGGUGGACGACUGCAUGGGGCUCCUCCACUCACCAAAAGCAAGAGGAAGGAGGAGCAAGGGCAACCCUCCAGCUGCCCUACCAUGCAUCAGAAAGCCAGAAAUGGGCAGCACGCUGUUUCCAGCCAACAGACCAGCCACACCAGGUACCACCGCAAAACAUGCAGAAGCGGCAGGCAGCGAGAAAGAGCUGGAGCCAGCACCACAGGGCAGGAGCAAGCCGGAGGAGCUCCUGGAAGAGUAAAAAGUGAGAGGUCAGCCCUGCGUCACCAUGGCAACCCACACAGCUCGGGCCAGGAGCAGAUGAACGGAGCUCUUUACGCCGUGUGAUCACCAGGAAAUGAGGAAAGACCCAUGGGUACCAGGCCCUGGGUUAGGUGCUGUACCGUCUUAUUGCCUCUGAUCCUCGCAGUGGUCUCAUGAGAAAGUUAAUGACAAAUCCAGCCAGAGUGAACAGAUGGAGUGACAAGUGACAGCCCAUCUUAUAUAUAUGAAUACCCAUUAGCAGGAUGUGCUGCAAUAUGCUGCUUGUCAUCUGUUUCAAAGACACAGUGAUAGGAUACAGGUACACCAGAUGGAUAAACCUAGUGUGACUAAUUAUUGUGUAUUUGCCUUUAAUUAUUAUCAUUUAUUACCAGAGGAAAGACAAUUGAGCUUCUCUGACUCAGAAGAAACUGUUGGCACCAGAGAAGUUUUUCUUGUAAUGUUAUUGAAUACAGCUAAAGUUUUCAUUGUUGGUGAAAAGAAAAGACAAGACAAGCUCACUCCUGUGAUAGAUAGACAGAGAGAUAGAUGAUAGAUAGAUAAAAUUUCACUGAUUAACAUUUAAUCUCAUUGGCUUCAAUAUAUAUCUAACUUUAAUUUUUAAAGACUGUUUCAGAGAAUUUGGGAUCUUGAUCUUCCAGUAUCUUUUCUAACUUUUUCACAGAACAGUCCUUCAAAUAAUUAGGCCAAGAGUGUGUGAUGAUGAUGAUGGAGAUUUUAGGAGAGGAAUUUGAAUCUAGAAAGUCAUCUCCAGAUUUAAAAAAAAUAGGCAUUUGCAAAGGAGUCUUUCAUCACUUCUAUUUUGCUUUUUCUUUCAUUAUGAGAUAGUAUUUUAAAAAACUGUGACUUCUUAUUAUGCUCCAAUCAUGAAAGAGACAAUUUUAAAAGCAUGGAAGCUUUUUACCCUAAAGUUAAGAACUGAGCCACUUUAUGGGAAACUUCUAGGGGGAAAGUUUCUACUCAAGUACAUUUCUUAUUUAGACAAGCAUAUGCAUCAUAAUGGAGUUUAAAAUCAGCAUAAGUGGUUUGGCAUAUUGGCCAAAAUUCCAAAAUAGCCACAACUCCUCUGCUAUGGAAUAAUGAAUCAGAAGAAAUCUAAAUGAGAAGAAAAUGCUCUGUGAUAUUAUGGAACUUGCAUUUUUGUGAAGAGAUUCUUUUUCUUUUAAUUUCAUGAAGCGGUCUGUUUUAGAGAAACAUCUGCGUAGUAGAGUUUUAUUGAGUGGCAUAAAGAAAUACAGAAACAGUAACAAUGAAGUCUCCUCUAGUAAUAAAUUAUAGGUUUGUGCUUCCCCAUCUGCGUGAGAUGUGUCCAUUGACUUGCUUUGACCAAUGGGGGAAGACACGUGUGUCUUCUUUGUGUAAAAGAACUGCUUUGUUCUCCACCACUUUCUUGCCCUUGCUACAGCAAUGGGAGACUCCCAAUGAUGGAGCCUUCAUCAGCCUGAGUCUCUGAGUGAGGAUUUUGUAGAGAAGAGCCCCUCACAAAUCUAAAGAUGGACGUGUCACAUAAGUGAGAAAUAAACCAUGGAUUUAAGUCAUGGAAAUGUGUUGUUGUUAUUGGAGCAAAGCUUAGCCUACCCG